UGAGGAAUAUUGCGCAAUGGGGGCAACCCUGACGCAGCAACGCCGCGUGAGUGAGGAAGGUUUUCGGACCGUAAAGCUCUGUCGAGCGGGAAGAAAUGCAUAGUGGCUAAUAUCUACUAUGCUUGACGGUACCGCUAAAGGAAGCACCGGCUAACUCCGUGACAGCAGACGCGGUAAUACGGGGGGUGCUAGCGUUGUUCGGAAUCAUUGGGCGUAAAGAGCGUGUAGGCGGCUGGAUAAGGCAGAUGUGAAAGCCCUGGGCUUAACCUAGGAAGUGCAUUUGAAACUGUUCAGCUUGAGUAAGGGAGAGGAAAGUGGAAUUCCUGGUGUAGAGGUGAAAUUCGUAGAUAUCAGGAGGAACACCGGUGGCGAAGGCGACUUUCUGGCCCUAUACUGACGCUGAGACGCGAGAGCGUGGGUAGCAAACA
This 428-nucleotide ribosomal RNA is filed under the name uncultured prokaryote. RNAcentral describes it as "bacterial SSU rRNA". It matches the Rfam family "Bacterial small subunit ribosomal RNA", at positions 355 to 774 of the family's 1533-position model. The record is from RNAcentral.